GAUGAACGCUGGCGGCGUGCCUAAUACAUGCAAGUCGAGCGAACAGACGAGGAGCUUGCUCCUCUGACGUUAGCGGCGGACGGGUGAGUAACACGUGGGUAACCUACCUAUAAGACUGGGAUAACUUCGGGAAACCGGAGCUAAUACCGGAUAAUAUAUUGAACCGCAUGGUUCAAUAGUGAAAGACGGUUUUGCUAUCACUUAUAGAUGGAUCCGCGCCGCAUUAGCUAGUUGGUAAGGUAACGGCUUACCAAGGCAACGAUGCGUAGCCGACCUGAGAGGGUGAUCGGCCACACUGGAACUGAGACACGGUCCAGACUCCUACGGGAGGCAGCAGUAGGGAAUCUUCCGCAAUGGGCGAAGGCCUGACGGAGCAACGCCGCGUGAGUGAUGAAGGUCUUCGGAUCGUAAAACUCUGUUAUUAGGGAAGAACAAAUGUGUAAGUAACUAUGCACGUCUUGACGGUACCUAAUCAGAAAGCCACGGCUAACUACGUG
Molecule: ribosomal RNA, 497 nt
Filed under: uncultured bacterium
Lineage: Bacteria
Description: partial 16S ribosomal RNA
Rfam family: Bacterial small subunit ribosomal RNA
Source: RNAcentral